Long non-coding RNA from Xyrauchen texanus (razorback sucker), 638 nucleotides. RefSeq lists it as uncharacterized. The record is from RefSeq and is a predicted model, not a curated record. NCBI's taxonomy places the organism in Eukaryota, Metazoa, Chordata, Actinopteri, Cypriniformes, Catostomidae. The transcript has 6 exons.
GAAGAAUUUUAGUGACCUACGGGCAAUGGAUGGCGGGCUAGUUCUUGCUGGUGACUGCAGGUCAGAUUCUCCUGGGCACUGCGCGAAGUAUGGAUCCUACUCUCUGAUCGAGGACAGAGUGAACAAGGUGGUGGAUGUUCAGCUUGUUCAGAGCUCAGAGGUCCCCAACAGCUCAUGGUGUGAGCUUGAAGGGCUCAAGCGCAGUGUUGGCCUGCUGAGGGAAAGGACCUGCAUUUAGCAACGCUGAUCACGGACCGUCAUCGCCAGGUUGCCAAAUGGGUGAGAGAGGAGCUGAGCCCUGAAGGGACACAGCGUUAUUUUGAUGUGUGGCACAUUGCCAAAAGUCUGGGGAAGGCAUUGGAUGCAGCUUCAAAAGAGUGUGACCAACUACAGCUGUGGAGGCCUGCUAUAGUGAAUCACCUCUAUUGGACUGCAGCCUCAACCCCAGACGGCAACCCAGCAGUCAUGGAGGCUAAAUGGAAAAGUUUAGUCAACCACAUCCAGGACAUCCAUGACCAUGACACCCCUGCUUUCUCCAGUUGUGCCCAUGGCCCUCUAGACGGGGAUCAGCGCAACAAAGAGUGGCUGGACCCAGGCUCAUUGGCAGCAGUAAAGUUGGAGAACAUAAUCACGAGAAC